Long non-coding RNA from Magnolia sinica, 2731 nucleotides. RefSeq lists it as uncharacterized. The record is from RefSeq and is a predicted model, not a curated record. NCBI's taxonomy places the organism in Eukaryota, Viridiplantae, Streptophyta, Magnoliopsida, Magnoliales, Magnoliaceae. The transcript is spliced from 3 exons.
AGAGCUUGAGUGGCAAAAUGGUGAAUGCUAGAGUGCUGACAGUGGAAAUGGCCAGGAAGCAUCCUGAGAUCAGGCCCAUGAACAGAUAUCAGAUGAAGCAGGAGACAUUACAGAGAAACUAGAGUAAGGUGCACCCUUCCUAUCUACCUCAGCAGGCUAUUCCGCCUAACAGUUGUGCGCCUAAGAAAAACCAGUCAUAUUUAGAGGUGACCAGGGGCUGGAGGCAGAACCGCCCACCAGAUGUUCGAAGAAAUGCCCCAGUCAAUAACUUGGUGGUCUCAACAUAAAUAUUAUUACUUCCAAAAGGGCUAAAGGGUGAAAGAACAAAACAAGCAAAGCUCAAAGAAAAUAAAAGACCUACAGGUGGGCCACCUACAACUCAAGUUAGAGUGCUUUCUGAAGGUACACUUGCCUAACACGUAUUAGAUGGGACCUCACUGUCUGGAUUCCAUGCAUCUAAAUUCAGGCAAAUAUGAUUAAUAGGUGUUGAGGAACAAUUGCUCAUUUGUCUUAGCCAUUGAUUUAACAUGUCUUGUUGUCACUACUUGAGCAUCAUAUUUCCAAAUGCCAGAUGCACUGAUUCAGCAUUCAGCAUGCAAGUCAAACCAAAUCAAUCCAAAUCAUGCGCUCUCACGUAAAUGCAUCUUUAACCAAAAUCUGUACUAAUUCAGCUUUCCAACUAGAAGAUUUGGGUACAUUUAAUGGAAGGUCGAAAUGAGAACUAAUCGAAGUUUCUCAUCAAUUAACUGAUCUGAUUUUUUGUUAUGGCCUAUAUCCUGGCUAUGUUAACUAUUUGGGUGGUUAUAUUUGUCUCAAUGUAUGUCCCAUUCAUAAUAUCUAUUAAUGCAUGAGUGUCAACCAUCACACUCUAGCAGAGUAUCAAACUUGCCAUCCCACGAGCAAAUCUGAUCUCACACACGUGCCUCAUUUCUAUGUAUGAGGUGAGCGCACUCCACUAAUUGAAACCUUUCUUAUAAGUGCACUUGAAACCCCAAUCAAAGCACACUCUUUUUUCUUUUUCUUUCUAUUAUUUAUUUAUAAAUCAGGAUAGCUCUUGUAAGUCACAAUAGGCAGGUCCAAUAUUCAGCAAGAACCAUUCACUUUACAUCCUUAGUUCUAUAAUCAAUUUUAUCAUGUAUACACUUCAAAACAUUCAAGAUUAAAAAACUAAGACCCACUGCAUUAUCAAUCAGAUCUGUCCAUCUAUUAGACCUUAAUAACGAUUGCUUCAUUUUCAAAAAUCAAACUUGUUGAACAGUCAUCUUAUUCAUCACUUUUCUUUAAGAAAUUUAACUGUUUUUCUUUUUUCAUAUGGUUGCUUUAGUGGCCAUCGAUCAAAUGGACAAAAAUGUCUAAUAGUGGAUGUUACACAGAAAAUCAUGGACCCUGCUUGGCUGAUGCAUCAUGGGGCCAUAAGCCAUGUUGCAAGGAACUUUGGUGUGUGAUGCCCUUGUUUUCCGAGCAAAAUCAUUUGUUGACCUGGGGCAAUAUAAGUCCUAUAACUCAAAAUCAGCUUUUCUUUAAAUUAUUUACAUGAUGCCCUUUUUCUCUGAACAAAAUCAUUCAUCUGUGCGACUCUCCUCAGGAACUAUUUCUGCAUCUGUUUGUAGUUCAGGGUAUUAUAAUUCUAUUAUGAAAAAUAGGUUUUUCUUUCAAUUGAUGUUGUGUUGUGCUUGUUUUUCUUUUAGAGUGAAACUAUAUGAAGCCGGUACCAUUUAGCCCCCAGUUUAUCAUCCAUGUUGUUUAACAUAAAGUAGGGCAUGUUUCCUUUUAUUGAUCUUGAAGAAUGUGUUGUUGAAAUUUGUGCUCUUAUGUUGUUGGAAUGAUUUUCUUUUUGUAGAUGGAUAACAUGGAGUGCUUUUUCAAGGAGAAAAUGGGUGUCAUUGCCGAACUUCUGGAGUACCUAUGGAAUGUGCCUAGCCAUUGCAUAGCAUGGAAGCAGGUUGGUAAGGAGAAGGAAAAUGAAAAGGAAAGCAGCUAGAGUGCAAGGUUUGCAGUUUCUGUAUAAUGAAUGGUACAUCGUCUGCAGGGCUGUAAUCAGAGUUGUAAUCUGAAACAAGGGAGGAUGGCAUGUUUAUCCCUUAUUUGAAGAGUAAUAUUUAUUUUUCAUUUGUUAUCUGUCUUUGAAUGAUUAAUGUUUUUUUUUUUCCUUCUUUCUCCUAUUUCAGGGCUUGGUUGCAGAAAUAUGUGCUUUGACUAUAGAAACAGCAUGGAACCAGAGCUGGGAAGGUACAGAAGAACAGAUGGAAAGAAAUGGUGAUGCUCUAAGGAUGUGGCGCCGGAUCAAAAGUACUGUGAGCGCCACAUGCGUAGAGGCCAUCAACGUUCAAGAAAGCCUAUGGAAGGCAAUGCCACUGCCAACAACAACACGACCACCACCACCAAAAACACCAUCGUUUCCAACACCAAUCUCUCCAUUUCAAUCUUCUUUAAUUACGGAGAGAAUAUUUUGUAGGUUCAAAUUUAAAUAGUCUUACUGGGAUCCACCACAUUGCUUGUAGAAACUAGCAGAGCUGAAUUACACUGCUGCGGCCUCACCAUAAAGCUGAUUCCAAGGAUUAGUCUACAAGCUAUGGCCCAAAAACUGGUUUACUAAAUACAUGUCACAUUUUAAGGACAAGCUCAAACAUAAGGUACAUCCAAAAUUUAAGUGGGCCACAUCAUUAAAAACAGUGGGGAUGCAAACACCACAGUUGAAACUUUCUCGGGCCCACUUCUUCUAUUUUAUUUU